UACGAAGGGGGCUAGCGUUGUUCGGAAUCACUGGGCGUAAAGGGCUCGUAGGCGGCCAACUAAGUCAGACGUGAAAUCCCCAGGCUUAACCUGGGAACUGCGUCUGAUACUGGAUGGCUUGAAUUCGGGAGAGGGAUGCAGAAUUCCAGGUGUAGCGGUGAAAUGCGUAGAUAUCUGGAGGAAUACCGGUGGCGAAGGCGGCAUCCUGGACCGAGAUUGACGCUGAUGAGCGAAAGCUAGGGGAGCAAACGGG
RNAcentral lists this ribosomal RNA (253 nucleotides) under uncultured bacterium. Its description in RNAcentral is "partial 16S ribosomal RNA". It matches the Rfam family "Bacterial small subunit ribosomal RNA", at positions 524 to 776 of the family's 1533-position model. The record is from RNAcentral.